GACGAACGCUGGCGGCGUGCCUAAUACAUGCAAGUCGAACGAAGCUGUUUUAACUGGUGCUUGCACCGACUUAAACAACUGAGUGGCGAACGGGUGAGUAACACGUGGGUAACCUGCCCCAAAGCGGGGGAUAACAUUUGGAAACAGAUGCUAAUACCGCAUAACCACAGAAACCACAUGGUUUCAGUGUCAAAGAUGGUUUCGGCUAUCACUUUGGGAUGGCCCCGCGGCGUAUUAGCUAGUUGGUAAGGUAAUGGCUUACCAAGGCAAUGAUACGUAGCCGAACUGAGAGGUUGAUCGGCCACAUUGGGAAUGAGACACGGCCCAAACUCCUACGGAGGCAGCAGUAGGGAAUCUUCCACAAUGGACGAAAGUCUGAUGGAGCAACGCCGCGUGAGUGAAGAAGGUUUUCGGAUCGUAAAACUCUGUUGUCAGAGAAGAACGUGUGCGAGAGUAACUGUUCGUGCAGUGACGGUAUCUGGCCAGAAAGCCACGGCUAACUACGUGCCAGCAGCCGCAGUAA
This 523-nucleotide ribosomal RNA is filed under the name uncultured bacterium. RNAcentral describes it as "partial 16S ribosomal RNA". It matches the Rfam family "Bacterial small subunit ribosomal RNA", at positions 28 to 523 of the family's 1533-position model. The record is from RNAcentral.